UACGUAGGGUGCAAGCGUUAAUCGGAAUUACUGGGCGUAAAGCGUGCGCAGGCGGUUCGGAAAGAAAGAUGUGAAAUCCCAGGGCUCAACCUUGGAACUGCAUUUUUAACUACCGAACUAGAGUAUGUCAGAGGGGGGUGGAAUUCCACGUGUAGCAGUGAAAUGCGUAGAUAUGUGGAGGAACACCGAUGGCGAAGGCAGCCCCCUGGGAUAAUACUGACGCUCAUGCACGAAAGCGUGGGGAGCAAACAGG
This 253-nucleotide ribosomal RNA is filed under the name uncultured bacterium. Its description in RNAcentral is "partial 16S ribosomal RNA". It matches the Rfam family "Bacterial small subunit ribosomal RNA", at positions 524 to 776 of the family's 1533-position model. The record is from RNAcentral.